CUGGCGAGAUGGUAAAUUGAUACACAUUAUUACAGCUCAAAAUUACCUGUUGGAAACAAUUCUGAUAAUAACAAGAAUGUGUAAUAUGUCUCGGUAACAACCUUAAUAUGGUGUUUUAGUAUGUAAUCACUUAAUUGGGCGAGAGUUAUGCAUAUGUAGCUAGUUGACAGCUUUUUCUGUUUGGUAUGUCUGACAUCACACGGCGCCAAGAACUACGCGGGCACAACUGUGAGCUCCAAAUACGUUCACUUUUAAAAUGGGAUGCAAGCAGGUCAAGCAAGACAGUUCAUUCUAGCGAUUCAGUGAACCGUUCAUUUUCCACCGGUUUUAUUUUCUGUCUACAGAGGAAAUUAAAUGAAUAGGAUAUUUAUCUAAAUGUUUUCCUGGUGGAGGAAAUCCACAGUAAGAUUCAACGCUGACUUCUGGAAUAACAACGAAGAGCUACCUCCACUGCAUGUUCUGUCAGUUCCUCCACAUCACCUUCCUCAAACUAUGCACUGGAAUCCAGUGGCUGUUUAACACCCCUGUUGAAAGUUAUCUGGGUCUGGACCCCACCCUCUGAAACUAGAUCCUGGACUUCCUGACCAGCAGACCACAGGCUGUGAGGAUUGGCAACAACACCUCCUCCACACGGACUCUUAACACAUGGGCCCCCAGGUCCUCAGUCCUAUGCUGAAUGCCCUGUUCACCCACGGCCACGUGGCUUUGCACGACACCAAUUCCAUCAAGUUUGCUGAUGACACCACGGUUGUAGGCCUGGUAACCAACAACGAUGAGUCCAUAUCAAUGAGACUGCAGUAGAGAAUCACGAGUUCUACAUGUUUAUGGAUGCACAUCACUGAGGACUUGUCGUGGACCAACCACCACUCUUGUCAAGAGGGCGGAACAGCGUCUCUACUCCCUAAGGUGGCGGAAGACAUUUGGCAUGACGCCCUGGGUCCUUUCCCACCCAACCCGGACAUCUACUCAAAAAGGGACACGAGGAAGGCAUGCAGCAUCAUCAAGGACCCCAUACAGACCCCAUACAAUCCUUUAAAGCAUCCUUCCAUCCUUCCGCAUUUUAGAUUAUAGUUUUUUCCCUCUCUUUCACGUAUCACUCUUUUUUCUUGUUUUUCCUUCACCCAUGAUUAUUUAUUAUUAAGCUCUAUGUUCAUGCCUGCCUGCUUCCAUGGCUUUUGCACUUUGUGUGGGAGUUGGAUGGCAUAUCUGUCACGUUCUGACCUUAGUUCCUUUUUUAUGUAUUCAUUUUAGUUGGUCAGGGCGUGAGUUGGGGUGGGCAUUCUAUGUUGUUUUUCUAUGUUUUGUUCUGUUGUUAUAUUUCUAUGUGUUUGGCCUAGUAUGGUUCUCAAUCAGAGGCAGGUGUCAGUCGUUGUCUCUGAUUGGGAGCCAUAUUUAGGGAGCCUGUUUUCUAUUGUGUUUUGUGGGUGGUUGUAUCCUGUGUUAGUGGUUUCACCAUACGGGACUUCUGUUUGUUUUGGUCAGUGGUCUGUUGAUUUAUUAAAUAUAUCAUUAUGGACACUUACCACGCUGCACAUUGGUCUGAUCCUUGCUGCUCCUCCUCUGAAGAAGAGGAAUUUCGUUACAGAACCACCCACCAGAAAAGGAACAAGCAGUGUGGUAACGGGCAGCAGAAAUCUCAAGACUCAUGGAGAUUUUGGAAGGCAAGGCACCCUGGGCACAGGCUGGGGAAUAUCGCCGCCCCAAGGCAGAGAUGGAGGCAGCUAAAGCUGAGCGGCGGUGGUGUGAGGAGUGCGGCUGGGACGAGAGGCAGCCCAAAAACUUAUUGGGGGGGGCACACGGGGAGUGUGGCUAAGUCAGGUAGGAGACUUCAGCCAACUCCCCAUGCUUAUCGUGGAGAGAGGUGGACCAGGCAGACACCGUGUUAUGCCGUGAGGCACACGCAUAUUGCACCGGUGCGCAGGCAUAGCCCGGUGCGUUACAGCACAGCGCCUCGCAUCGGCCGGGCUAGAGUGGGCAUCGAGCCAGGUGCCAUGAAGCCGGCUCAGCGCAUUUGGUCUCCAGUGCGUCUCCUCGGGCCGGGGUACAUGGCACCAGCCCUACGCAUGGUGUCCCCGGUUCUCCAGCACAGCCACUGUUGGCUAAACAAUUUCGUAGUAAAGUCAAGUGCCAUCUCUUUCCCAUUGAUUAUAAUCUCCUGUUGUACAAAAAAAAAUGCAUAAAUUUUCCAGAGGCUCAGAGUUUGUCUUAUAUUUCCAGGUAGCUCCUUUCUUCUUAUGUCCUUCACUUCUAAAUUUUCCCGCCCCCUGUUUUCUUUUUUGUAUUGAUACAUUUUUAAAUGUUUUAUUCUGUUAGUAGAUUUUGAAAAGCUGUGUUAAUCAUUCUCCAAAUGAAUCAUGCAAAUUAGCAUUUUAUCAUUAGAGGUAGAAAGUAUUUCUGAAAUACUACUUGAAUUAUUACCGUAAAAUAUUAUUGUAAUAUUACACAUUCUUGCCAGUUACAUAUCUAGCCCUCCUUAUUAGUCUUCCUCACUGCUAAUAGAAUUAGUAGCAUAGCUAACUAAAUACCUAGCUGGACUAGCUGCAUUGGUCGUUUUGCACUAACUGUUUUGACUCAUCACAUAAGCUGCUGCUAUUGUUUAUUAUCUAUCCUGUUGUCUAGUCACUU
This is a long non-coding RNA of Oncorhynchus keta (chum salmon), 2625 nucleotides long. RefSeq lists it as uncharacterized. The transcript has 3 exons. The record is from RefSeq and is a predicted model, not a curated record. NCBI's taxonomy places the organism in Eukaryota, Metazoa, Chordata, Actinopteri, Salmoniformes, Salmonidae.